UCUGGUUGCAUGCCCCGUGGACCGGUUGCUUUUGACACAGUUGCGACUGGUCAUGCCAAAUCGGUUUUGUGGCUGUGCGACCUUUUUGCCGUGUCUGUUUCGACAGGUGUCGGUAGACCAAGUGUCUGUUGACAUGCUUUCGUAUGCCCUUAACCGGGUGUCGGGAGCAGACGGCACGUUUACUUUGAACAAAUUUGAGUGCUCAAAGCAGGCUUUUGCCUGAAAAUUCUUGCAUGGAAUAAUGGAAUAGGACUUCGGUUCUAUUUUGUUGGUUUUCGGAUCCGAAGUAAUGG
RNAcentral lists this ribosomal RNA (293 nucleotides) under Paradiscogaster glebulae. RNAcentral's name for it is "partial 18S ribosomal RNA". The stretch from base 59 to 293 matches the Rfam family "Eukaryotic small subunit ribosomal RNA", at positions 632 to 868 of the family's 1831-position model. Lineage: Eukaryota; Metazoa; Platyhelminthes; Trematoda; Plagiorchiida; Zoogonidae. The record is from RNAcentral.